UAACCAGCCACUUUCAGCCACUGCGCAAAACACAAAAUUCAUCUGGUCACCAAAGGGGAUGAUUUUAGCUCUUGAAAUUGCUCUGUGUGCCAUUGUGACUAUUUGUAAAGCAGUUUCCUUUGAAUGCUACUUGUGGGGCUGCAUUACAGAGCUGGUCUGGGCCAUUCUCAUAUUCAUCGUUUAUGCCAUCGACCUACCUACCUACAUGCACCUAUCACUGAUGUAUUUCCAGUGGCUGGACUUAUUCAGAGCAAUCACAGGAUCAGUCCUCCUUCUUGUUACUUCUCUUAUCUGUCUUAGCUGAGGAUGGAAAAGUUCCGGGGAAGUUGCU
Long non-coding RNA from Sinocyclocheilus anshuiensis, 331 nucleotides. RefSeq lists it as uncharacterized. The transcript is spliced from 3 exons. Lineage: Eukaryota; Metazoa; Chordata; Actinopteri; Cypriniformes; Cyprinidae. The record is from RefSeq and is a predicted model, not a curated record.